GGCCCUUAGAUAUGAUGCGGCUGCGCGAACUGAUUAGAAGCUUGCUUCUAUGACGUUAGCGGCGGACGGGUGAGUAACACGUGGGCAACCUGCCUGUAAGACUGGGAUAACUUCGGGAAACCGAAGCUAAUACCGGAUAGGAUCUUCUCCUUCAUGGGAGAUGAUUGAAAGAUGGUUUCGGCUAUCACUUACAGAUGGGCCCGCGGUGCAUUAGCUAGUUGGUGAGGUAACGGCUCACCAAGGCAACGAUGCAUAGCCGACCUGAGAGGGUGAUCGGCCACACUGGGACUGAGACACGGCCCAGACUCCUACGGGAGGCAGCAGUAGGGAAUCUUCCGCAAUGGACGAAAGUCUGACGGAGCAACGCCGCGUGAGUGAUGAAGGCUUUCGGGUCGUAAAACUCUGUUGUUAGGGAAGAACAAGUACGAGAGUAACUGCUCGUACCUUGACGGUACCUAACCAGAAAGCCACGGCUAACUACGUGCCAGCAGCCGCGGUAAUACGUAGGUGGCAAGCGUUAUCCGGAAUUAUUGGGCGUAAAGCGCGCGCAGGCGGUUUCUUAAGUCUGAUGUGAAAGCCCACGGCUCAACCGUGGAGGGUCAUUGGAAACUGGGGAACUUGAGUGCAGAAGAGAAAAGCGGAAUUCCACGUGUAGCGGUGAAAUGCGUAGAGAUGUGGAGGAACACCAGUGGCGAAGGCGGCUUUUUGGUCUGUAACUGACGCUGAGGCGCGAAAGCGUGGGGAGCAAACAGGAUUAGAUACCCUGGUAGUCCACGCCGUAAACGAUGAGUGCUAAGUGUUAGAGGGUUUCCGCCCUUUAGUGCUGCAGCUAACGCAUUAAGCACUCCGCCUGGGGAGUACGGUCGCAAGACUGAAACUCCAAGGAAUUGACGGGGGCCCCGCAACAAGCGGUGGAGCAUGUGGGUUUAUUCGAAGCAACGCGAAGAAACUUACAAGGUCUUGACAUCCCUCUGACAAACUCUAGAGAAUAGAGAGUCCCCU
Molecule: ribosomal RNA, 1002 nt
Filed under: Bacillus sp. (in: firmicutes)
Lineage: Bacteria; Bacillati; Bacillota; Bacilli; Caryophanales; Bacillaceae
Description: bacterial SSU rRNA
Rfam family: Bacterial small subunit ribosomal RNA
Source: RNAcentral